RNAcentral lists this ribosomal RNA (175 nucleotides) under uncultured Bacillus sp. Its description in RNAcentral is "partial 16S ribosomal RNA". It matches the Rfam family "Bacterial small subunit ribosomal RNA", at positions 1211 to 1382 of the family's 1533-position model. Lineage: Bacteria; Bacillati; Bacillota; Bacilli; Caryophanales; Bacillaceae. The record is from RNAcentral.
GGGCUACACACGUGCUACAAUGGCCGGUACAGACGGACGCAAAGCCGCGAGGUGGGAGCAAAUCCUAAAAAGCCGGUCUCAGUUCGGAUUGCAGGCUGCAAUUCGCCUGCAUGAAGUCGGAAUCGCUAGUAAUCGCAGGUCAGCAUACUCGCGGUCCGAAUACGUUCCGGGCCUU